UACGUAGGGUGCGAGCGUUGUCCGGAAUUAUUGGGCGUAAAGAGCUCGUAGGCGGUGUGUCGCGUCGGCCGUGAAAACCUGCAGCUUAACUGUGGGCUUGCGGUCGAUACGGGCAUCACUGGAGUUCGGCAGGGGAGACUGGAAUUCCUGGUGUAGCGGUGAAAUGCGCAGAUAUCAGGAGGAACACCGGUGGCGAAGGCGGUUCUCUGGGCAUUACCUGACGCUGAGGAGCGAAAGUGUGGGGAGCGAACAGG
RNAcentral lists this ribosomal RNA (254 nucleotides) under uncultured bacterium. RNAcentral describes it as "partial 16S ribosomal RNA". It matches the Rfam family "Bacterial small subunit ribosomal RNA", at positions 524 to 776 of the family's 1533-position model. The record is from RNAcentral.